Ictidomys tridecemlineatus (thirteen-lined ground squirrel) is the source of this 1409-nucleotide long non-coding RNA. RefSeq lists it as uncharacterized. Lineage: Eukaryota; Metazoa; Chordata; Mammalia; Rodentia; Sciuridae. The record is from RefSeq and is a predicted model, not a curated record.
CAACCAUCCUCCCUCACUCCAAACAAAGCAUUAAAAUAAUCUGCUCUUGGGGCUGGGGGUGUGCUUAGUGGUAGAGCACUUGUCUUCUAUGCCAAAGACCUUGGGUUCCAUGCCAGCAAAUCAACAACAAAAAAACCUCUCUGACCUACCUUGUGUGAUAGAUCAUAAGACCUUUCUUCCAGAAGGGGUCCUGCCCAAUACCUCAGAGAAAGGAUUGCCAGAGAGAGAGACCAAGAAAAAUCCAAAUACAGGUCUUGGUGGAUUUCUCCUCUCUGUCUAUUACAAUUGUGAGUGACCCUUAGGAUGGAGAACAAAGGUGUAACACCGUUCGGAACUGGUACGUCUGGUUUGCGUUACAAUCACUCAGGUGGGCGUGUAACCUGUACUGCAGAACUGUAAACCCUUUAGGGUGUAAGGACUCUGCCAUUUAUUUGAUGAUCCCCGCCCUCCAAAACAAAAUAAAACUUGGUGGCUGCAAAAUGAACCAACCAAAACAUGAAUCAGGGGCCCAUUUCCAUCCAGAUCCUUCCUCUCUUCGAGACACAAGUCUACGGGAGGGAAUGGGACUAGGUUGUUGUGGAAUGACAGCCCCUCGCCUCUUCUGGAGACCUCUGUGAAAAGGGGUGAUGGGGCUAAAGUGAGGCGGGGCACUCUUCCCCUACCGACGAGAUGACUUACCAGUGCACCAGCACCGCACGGCCCUCCGAGCGGGCCUGGCUGAUGAAGGCCACGCACCGAUCCAGAUGGCUGAGCAAGUCGGUCUCGGGUUUGUCCAGGGCUGGCACGAAGAGGCUCCGUAGACCUUCGAACCCAGCCCCCUCCUUGAAACCAGGUUCUGAGUCUACCGUCAACACGGCAGAGAUGCCGGCCUCCUUCAAAUGAUCCGGCUCUGCGACUGCCGCCGCCCCACCCAGGUACAGCCCAGGCCGCACUUCCAGCAUCUCCCGGGCAGAGCUGGUUCCGCUAGCGUGCGGAAUCCAGCUCCCGCAGCCAUGGCUCGAGCCCUCCUUUGCCAACAUGGCGGCGCCCAGAAGCCAGGCGGCUGGAAGCCCUACCACCGAGUAACCGGCCGGCUAGAACGUCCUUCCCCCGAGGCCCAGCUGCGCCGGCAACUCGGCGGCUCGGUCGGAGGACUACGACCACAGUCUGCUUGUAGACUUAAGCUCCAGCUGAGCCGGUGCUCCUAUCAGAAGCAGCCCCGUUACCCCUGUUCUACCAUCCCAGCGUAUUGUAAAGGACAACCUUCCCCAAAUAGAGGGUAAUCUCAGGCUGUUUGUCUUGAGACUAACAGGGAAGGGGCAGCAGAGGCAACUGAAUUCAAAUUUUUAGUGAAGGACCCAUCAACUUAAUCAGCAGCAUCCUUUCAUGCAUUUGUAAUAAAAUGUUUUUUUUCAUUGUUUAAGAAGCCA